Molecule: ribosomal RNA, 388 nt
Filed under: uncultured bacterium
Lineage: Bacteria
Description: bacterial SSU rRNA
Rfam family: Bacterial small subunit ribosomal RNA
Source: RNAcentral
CGGGUUGUAAAGCACUUUCAGUAGGGAGGAAGGUAGUGUAGUUAACACCUGCAUUAUUUGACGUUACCUACACGAAGAAGCACCGGCUAACUCCGUGCCAGCAGCCGCGGUAAUACGGAGGGUGCGAGCGUUAAUCGGAAUUACUGGGCGUAAAGCGCAUGCAGGCGGCCUGUUAAGUCAGAUGUGAAAGACCCGGGGCGUUAACCUCGGAAUUGCAUUUGAAACUGGCAGGCUAGAGUCUUAUAGAGGGGGGUAGGAAGUUUCAGGUGUAGCGGUGAAAUGCGUAGAGAUCUGAAGGAAUACCAGUGGCGAAGGCGGCCCCCCUGGACAAAGACUGACGCUCAGAUGCGAAAGCGUGGGGAGCAAACAGGAUUAGAUACCCUGGUAG